UCACUUCAAAAAGAAAACAAAUUCUGUAUUUGCACAGUGUGUGGGGGAAGCCACCCGUCAUGGCUGUGGUGUUUUCCACAUAAACACAUUACUAUGGAACAGUGAGGGAGACAGACAGCAGAAGAGCAGGCGGGGGUUGGAGGGGAGCUCCUGGGGAGAGCGAUUCUGCUCCACCAGACGCGUGGCCUCGCCAGGAAACCAGGGAGGGGUCAACGGCUCUCUCCUGGCUGCAGCAGAGCUCCGUCGGGGGCAGGAGAAGCACUGUGUAGGUACCUGCAGGACCACCAGCUAGAGAAGAGCACUGUCCGUCUGCCCGCUAAGCCAUCUGUAUACAGACACCAGCAGCUCGGGAGAAACCAUUUUUUGACAACACUGUAACGAGAACAUUCACUCGGCAGACUGCAUUCCAUAGUUCAGAAUUAAGAGAGAACAGAGACACUCUGUGCCGCGCGGACCUUCUCCGUAUGCCAAGCCGUCAGGGAGAACAUCACUGAUAAAGAUGCGGCUGAGAUGCUGCUGCUCGUCCACCUGGGCCGUCACCGCAAACCCUGCGAGCGGCAAUAAAAGAAGAAAACAAGUCGAAGUUCAGCACACUCACGGAUUUCUCCAACUCAGUCGGCAGAUGCCCCUGAACAUCUCUUCUCCUAAGCAUGCUGUGUCAAGGAGUCAAGCUGCAGGUACUGAGAAAGCACAGCUCUCCGGCGGGGGCAGGGAGACAGGCACGUGCCGACCUGAAGCUCCAAGCUGAGCGCACGACCUUAUUCAAACGCAGACGCUACGCCCGUGUUCAGAGUGGCGUUAUGUACAACGGCCAAAAGGUGGAAGCAACCUGACCCUCUUCUGACAGGUGAGUGGGUACACACAAUGCAGUCCAUACAGACAAUGGAAUUACAUACGCCCUCGUAAAAGGAGAGAGAUCCCCGUACACGUGAUCACACAGACAAGCCUUGAGGACGUCAUGCUAUGUGAAAUAAGCCAGUCACAAAAGAACACACACUGUAUGAUUCCACUUCUGUGAGAUACGGAGAGCAGUCAGAUUCAAAGACAGAAAGCAGAAGGGUGGUUCGCAAGGAAUGGGAAGGAGGAACUGGGGGAAGACUGUGUAAAAGAUAGAGUUCCAGUUUUGCAACAUGAAAACAGUUCUGAACGUAUUUAAUGUCACUGUCUGGGAAUGUACUUCAUGCCACUGAGCUGUCACUUGGAACCACUCUCAACGGUCACGAUGGCAAACUUCGUUAUGGGUGUUUCACCACCAUUUACAUUUUUUUGUAGAAGCCGAAACCCAAAAAUACUCUACUGAAAAAAUUAAAUUCAGUUCAAUACAAAAUAAUUCAUUAAGAAACAACUCUGUAUGGGGUUAGGCAUUUUAAGUUGGUGGAAAACCGUUUGGAUGGAUACCAUACCUGCCCUAAACAUGACUACUCGCAAAACCCAGGAACGUUUCUGGAUCUGUCAUGGAUCUGUCGCUUUCUGUAUAUUUUCCUGGAAGAUGAUCAUAGCCCAGAAUGAAUACCAAC
Long non-coding RNA from Ailuropoda melanoleuca (giant panda), 1517 nucleotides. RefSeq lists it as uncharacterized. The record is from RefSeq and is a predicted model, not a curated record. NCBI's taxonomy places the organism in Eukaryota, Metazoa, Chordata, Mammalia, Carnivora, Ursidae. The transcript is spliced from 3 exons.